Long non-coding RNA from Saccostrea cuccullata (small rock oyster), 2047 nucleotides. RefSeq lists it as uncharacterized. The transcript has 7 exons. The record is from RefSeq and is a predicted model, not a curated record. Lineage: Eukaryota; Metazoa; Mollusca; Bivalvia; Ostreida; Ostreidae.
UUUACUAUACAGAAACAGCGAUGAGACCGUGGUCUCUUAUUACCACGUGACUAAUCAGAACGAGGCUACUUUCAUUUUUGCAUUGCCUACGUGCAGCAUGGGAUCAUUGAUAAUUAAGCCCUAUGGUAUCUUCAGAUUACAGCCUAUUAAGCUGGAAUGCCCCACACAUAAUGGAUGAUAAUUUUGUAAAUUAGAGCAGUACUAUCUUGAGAGGGGCCCUUUGUUUUUCUGGACAUCAGAAUUUUAUAUCAAUGGAUUGUCUUGGAAUUGCCAUACAGAAGGUGUUCAUGAAGCAGCUCCCUGGAUGGUGUGUAGUCUGUAUGUCAACAUGUGGAGCCCAGGUGUAUAUCAAGCUUUACAGCGACUAUCAGAAUUUCGGAGCAAAUCAAAGAUCCUAUUUUAAUCAGAUUGAUUUCAAGGAAGUAGUAGUCUCCCCUGUUAAAGAUCAGUAAUGGUGGAUAUACAAUGCUGGAUGCAGUCUGGUCAUCAACAGAGAGUUUUGACACCUGUAAUUUGCCUCUGUAACCUUUGCUGUGUUUAUCAGACAGAUGAUGAAUCAGUCUACUUCUUUUUACAAGAGGUGCCCCUCCAGACUCACAAAGGUCCAAAGUUGAGUUUCAAGCACACCUAUUCAGUCUAAUGCAUGUUGGCAACUGAUGCUGGUUCUAUUUUCACCAAGAAGCAUACCAUGCAUACCACCGGUAACCAAGUGACGGACAGGCAUAACCACAGUUAGGUGUGCAGCUCUUUGUCCCCUUCCAGAUCUCCUAAUCUCUUUGUAAAGCUUUUCUUGGUGACUGAUAAAGUGACAUUUUUACAAUACAUAGAAAGGAUCCAUGCCUGGCCUUGUUUUUCCUCCCCAUGCUGAUUCCAGUCCAGUGAACCAUCACAAACUUGAAACUUUGCGAUGUACCCUUCCUUAUGAUUUGUCCUUGCCCAAACAGCCAAUGCAAUGAAGAAGAAAAUGCAGGGUUGAAAUGGAUUAAAGAUCAACUUUUCUAUAUGACAGCAAAUAUUUUCUUGGUGCAUUGUAUAUUUGACUUGUAGAACAAGAAUUUAUCAAAGUUGUCAUUAAUUUAAGAAAAAAGCACAAUUUUCACACUCAUGUAAGAGGAGAAAUAUAACAGAGUAUUGAAUACCAUGUUAGAAUUUUUAGUCAAGCAUGUGUUAAUUACAAAUUGAAAUGCAAAACUUUCAAUAGCAGAUUGAAUAACGUAAAUCUAGAAAUUUUUGCUGUAGAUAAAUUUUUAGCAAAUUUGCGAGUUCAUUGCAUUCACAAAAAUAUAUUUCUUAAAAUUAAUUCAACAAUAAGAAAAUUUAAACAAAGUAGUGGUCAUUCGCAAAAUUUUGAAACGUAAAAAUUAAUCAACAGCAUUACGACCCAGAUUCGCAAAAUAAAAUCGACGUAAACAUUUCCAGAUUUACGGUAGUUACUGUGUAGAUUAUUAUGAAUAUUAGGUCACCCAAGUCAGUCUAACAAUGGUGCACUAUCAUAUGGAAAUUUUCAACUUCUUAUUUGAAACCACUUAAGCAGUCUUAAUUAAUUUUGGCAUACAGUUUGGCUCACCUAUUAAUUUAUUCUUAGAAAAUUUUCUAUGCUCAGGGUUGUAUUCUCCUCUGGUGACUGUUAAGGUCCAUUGGCCCCUUGUUACUCUUUUACUUAAAUAUUUUGUUUUUAAGCUAUUAUUGCUGCAAGCAUUUGCAAGCAUUAUAAGUAUAUUAUUUUCUUUGUUAAGUUUGCUGUCAUUUGCUUAAUUUAUAAGCUUUUCACGUGUACAUUACUUAUUAUACACAUAUUAUUUUUUGUUGUUAGCAAAUAAUUUGAAUGUAUGCACAUGCCUUUAAUUUAGAUGAGAGCAUAUUUGUAUAUUUUCAAUAUUUUCUUGAGCAAUAAAUAUUGAAUUGAUUUCAGCAUAUUUUAUUAUGUAUUCAAACAUGAAUUGAAUGGCAGCAGGCAUAUUGCAUUACUUUGAUAAAUUGAAUACUGCAUUAUAAUGUUAAACAUGACCAGUUAUUGUUACACUACCAUUAAAGAACUAAUAUCUUA